GGGUCUCUGAUCCAUGGAAAUGCGGAUGAUGUCACACAUUUUAUUGGUGCGGCAUGGAUGAAGUGGAGGCUUUAGUCCGGCGUUUUGUGUCACAAGAAUAUACCACCAAAACUUAAAGGUAAGUUUUACCGAGUGGUGGUUAGACCAGCUUUGUGGUAUGGGGUGGAGUGUUAACCAGUGUAGCCAGUCUAGAACUCCUAGGUCCAGCCGUCCAGAAGAUAGAAGUGGCGCAAAUGAGGACGUUGAGAUGGAUGUGAGGGCAUACUAGGAGUGAUAGGAUUAGAAAUGUGGAACCUCCAGAACCAGUGUCUAGGGGAGCGCAAACCAAAAAAAGCAACAAUGUCCCGCUGCACGCUUGAAGCGAAGUGGUCGCUUCAUUAAUCAUUGAAGUGAAGCAAAAUUUAAAGCAAAAAAGACCAAAAUAAAUAGAGACAAGGUAAAAGCAAAAGUUCAUAUCAAAAACUAAAUAAAGGUUCCCCAUUAGUUGUCCUGUCACAAAACAAAUAUACUAUUGUUGUCCUAUUGGUCUCACUAAAGGACGGUUUGGAAAGCCACUCUGGUGAAUAUACCCUACAUGGUAGCAUGUUUUGUUUGGCUCCUACUCUUAAUGAAGUUUUCCUUACACAAUCUGAUGAAAAGGGAGAUAACUCUUAUGUCCCAAAUGUGUUUUUUGUGGAGAACAAGCUGAAACUAUCAGACACUUGUUCCUUCCUUGCAAGUUCACAGGUCAGCUUUGGAGGCUAUUCAUAAACCUUAAGGUUUCUCCUGGACUAUGCCAGAAAAGGUGACAGAGGCCCUCCAAAGCUGGGGUUUAGGACAAAAAACAGAUGUAGGUGGAGAAUCAUACGAGCCAGCAUAUGGUGGACAAUUUGGAUAGAGAGAAAUACUAGGUGUUUUAAGAACAUAGAGAAGAGUACAGAACAGAUAAUAUUGAACUGUAUCUUGAUACUAUAUUUUUGGUGUAAAUAGAUUUGGUUUAAUGAUCUUGUAUCUAUUAUUGAUGUGUUAGAUUCAUUAUAUACAUAGGAUCAGACACUCUCGAUUUACAUGUAAAUAUGGUCCUAGUACAACC
Molecule: non-coding RNA, 1072 nt
Organism: Solanum lycopersicum (tomato)
Lineage: Eukaryota; Viridiplantae; Streptophyta; Magnoliopsida; Solanales; Solanaceae
Source: RefSeq, a predicted model, not a curated record